Molecule: transfer RNA, 86 nt
Filed under: Deltaproteobacteria bacterium
Lineage: Bacteria; Pseudomonadati; Myxococcota; Myxococcia
Description: tRNA-Ser
Rfam family: tRNA
About the family: Transfer RNA (tRNA) molecules are approximately 80 nucleotides in length. Their secondary structure includes four short double-helical elements and three loops (D, anti-codon, and T loops).
Source: RNAcentral
GGAAGGGUGGCCGAGCGGUUUAUGGCGGUGGUCUUGAAAACCAUUGAACGAAAGUUCCGGAGGUUCGAAUCCUCUCCCUUCCGCCA